GACGAACGCUGGCGGCGUGCCUAAUACAUGCAAGUAGAACGCUGAAGGAGGAGCUUGCUUCUCUGGAUGAGUUGCGAACGGGUGAGUAACGCGUAGGUAACCUGCCUGGUAGCGGGGGAUAACUAUUGGAAACGAUAGCUAAUACCGCAUAAUAGUAGAUGUUGCAUGACAUUUGCUUAAAAGGUGCAAUUGCAUCACUACCAGAUGGACCUGCGUUGUAUUAGCUAGUUGGGGAGGUAACGGCUCACCAAGGCAACGAUACAUAGCCGACCCGAGAGGGGGAUCGGCCCCCCUGGGACUGGGACACGGCCCAGACUCCUACGGGAGGCAGCAGUAGGGAAUCUUCGGCAAUGGACGGAAGUCUGACCGAGCAACGCCGCGUGAGUGAAGAAGGUUUUCGGAUCGUAAAGCUCUGUUGUAAGAGAAGAACGAGUGUGAGAGUGGAAAGUUCACACUGUGACGGUAUCUUACCAGAAAGGGACGGCUAACUACGUG
This 495-nucleotide ribosomal RNA is filed under the name uncultured bacterium. Its description in RNAcentral is "partial 16S ribosomal RNA". It matches the Rfam family "Bacterial small subunit ribosomal RNA", at positions 28 to 507 of the family's 1533-position model. The record is from RNAcentral.